Homo sapiens (human) is the source of this 1802-nucleotide long non-coding RNA. NCBI's taxonomy places the organism in Eukaryota, Metazoa, Chordata, Mammalia, Primates, Hominidae. The record is from Ensembl.
AUCCAGGAUAGUCCUGGAAAUGAUCUUGAUGCUAUCUGUUCCUCGUUACAGCAGACCUGCUCAACUUCAGCAGCUAGAAGGAGGAUUGUCUUUCACCAGCUGCAGGAGCCUGUUCCCACUACAAGCCUGGUGGAGUCUUCGGAGCAGAUGUGACUGUCCUACUUGUAUAGAGAAGAGAAACUGAGGCUCAGAAGAGAUGCCUGGCUGAGUUUAAUAGGACUGCAACAACAAUUUUGCCUUUCUACUUUCUGCUCACCGAAGAAGACAGGAAAACUUGUCAGAUGGGGAAGGAUGUGUCAAGAGCAUGCACACAGAUUUACUCUUCAGCUAGAAGCUCCAAUUCCUAGAUGAUCUGAAUCCAACUCAGAGUGCUUGCACCUGUUUCCUGCCACACAGCUAGAGCUGUCCAGUGAGAGAGACAUGAUGGCCCAGCUUGAAAAAGAAAUUGAGGAUAGCAAGUGUAACAUACCAAGCAUUCCACGAGCAGAAGUGCCUUUCAUGUCCCACCAUGAUUCUGAGGACCCCCCCAGCCAUAUGGAACUUGUCCCUCUAGGUUCUCUGAUUGGCUGAAGCUACUCUAAGCCAAGAGAUCAAAGAAGCUGAUAAUGUAGAAUGUAAGUUUGUCUCCUGGGCCACAAUGGAAAGCAGAGACUGUAGCUGGAGGAGUGAAUAGAGGAUAUGCAGCUCUGGUAAUUCUCAGUACAAUUCCCAGUGGUCCACUCUGCAGAAUGAACCAAGUUCCAUUUUGCCCAACUUCUGGCAGUCCACAUUUGGACUGUGAGCUCACCUACAGAUAAAUCGUACGUGGAUUGAUGCAGUAACUGGAUUUGUAGCUGCUAAAUCUUAUUUAAGUGAGGACCUGUCCAGUACAUGUGAAGACCACCCAUCCACUGAAAGUGAUAAGUGAAGCUGAAUCAAUACUAGACUGAAUCAAUACUGAGCUGAAUCAAUACUUUCCCAAUUUUGAGGAAAUCUUGGAAAAUCUCUGAGAAAUGUGGUAGUAAUUAUUUUGAAGAAUUGGAAAACUUUAUAGCUGAUUAUGCUAUGUGUGGAAGAUACAACAGGAUUAUAAGAGAGAGAAGACAAUAUCCUUGCUGUGUCCAGAAGGCUUUAGCCGGGGUGUCCUACUGAGAGAUGACAAACUUAAGGUUUUUCUCUUCCCAGACAUUACUGGACAACUAGCUAUGUAAUUAGGUCUUAUGCCGAAAAGACUGAAAGGAAAACAUCUCAGAUCUAGGAAUGUGAUCAAGAAAGAAGGCUGGUUAAAGAAUAACAUGGGGAAAAUGAAUGCAGUGAAAUGGUUCACGCACAAGUUCUAGGAAUUCAGAGUGCAACAGCAGAAAUGCGAUUUUUGUUAGAUAUUUCAGAAAGUGAUGUGAGUCCCUGAGGUCAUACUGCAGCGUUCAGGUUCUGUUUGGCCUCCUGCACGAAGCUUUCCUUGAUUGGAAAAGCUGCAUACUCUGAAGCACAUCGCAUGUGUCCUGUCUGUAGUUCAUUUCAUUUCCCCAGAUUUGUUAUCAUCCACCAUCACUCAUACAAGCCUACCUUCUUCAUGCCAACCUUUGUAAUCUUUCUACCUUGCUAACCUGGUCAUGUCAAGGACCAGCUAAUAAAUAGCAAAGUUGUACCUUGAGCCAAGGUAUCUUGACUCUUAGUCCAGUGCUCUUUAUAUACCUCUGAAGUCUUAUUUGAGCUUCAAAAUUAUGAGUCUGUGCUCUCAAGAUUUUUUUGAAAAUGUACUUAAUGUUGCCCCUAAGCUUUUAUGAGAAAUAAUAAAGUUCUUUCCAGAUUGAAUAUCUAAU